Triplophysa dalaica is the source of this 956-nucleotide non-coding RNA. Lineage: Eukaryota; Metazoa; Chordata; Actinopteri; Cypriniformes; Nemacheilidae. The record is from the annotation of a RefSeq genome assembly.
GUUUAACACUUCAUGACUGACAACACAACACAACACAAUCUUCAACAUCACACAAACCAACAAGAACAACAAUGACUUUCAGCAUCAUCUUCAUCUGGACACUCACAGUGUUUAUUACAGAAUCUAAAGGAAUUACUCUGACUCAACCUAGAGUGAAAAGUGUUCAACAGGGACAAACAGCUACAAUAGAGUGUCAUAUAGAUGUAGGAAUAUAUAGCGACUACUUAGCCUGGUAUCAGCAGAAACCUGGAGAAGCUCCUAAACUCCUCAUAUAUGACAUCAGAAGCCUCCAGUCUGGAGUAUCAUCUAGAUUCAGUGGCAGUGGAACAGCAAAUACUGGAAAAGAUUUUACUCUGAGCAUCAGUGGAGUUCAGACUGAAGAUUCAGGAGAUUAUUACUGUCAGAGUUAUCACAGUGGUCCAGUGUUGACACAGUGAUAAAGAGUCGUACAAAAACCUCCGUCAGUCAGACUGAACAGUGACUGCACUGAUACACCUGACACAUACUGCAGCUGAUCAUACAACACACACAAAACAUUGAUCACCAAUAUAUAUAUUUUUUGUAGUUAUGAAGAUAAUAGAAAAUGACUUUAAAAUCCAUACUGACUGUUGAAGGAUCAGUUUAUUUUAGCAUGGUUAUAGUUUAUUUUAUUUGUGUUAAAUUCCCCUGAUUAUUGAUGAACAUAUUAUCAGCAGAACAUACACUGACUCAUUUAUAUAAGAUGUUUUUCUCUGUUUGUGUGUGUUCUUGUAACCAACAUAUCUAAUGAUCUUUAUGAGAUAAACGUUAUGAUCAGAUGCACAAACAGCCGCUGUUCAUCAUCACAACAUUUGUUCAGAGAGUUCAGUGUUCACACCAGUUAAGAGAAAAAAUACAUUUAUAUUUUGAUUAGAAUAUUCAUUUAGUUAAAUUCAUGAUUUAUGUCAAUCAUUUAUGUGCACACACAACUUUAUAAC